AUAUAUCAACCUUCUCUUGUUGAGUGGUUUGGAUGUGGGGGGUUUUGCUGGCCUCUUUAAAAAGGAGGUUCAGCUCCUCUGAAAUGCAUUAGCAGAAUGAAACCUUGUUCAUUGGUGUGAUAACCCUAUCAGUGCUAUUGAACACAAGGGCAAAGUUCAGCUUUCCAACAGUCCUUGGACAAUUUAUCAUUA
This 192-nucleotide unclassified non-coding RNA is filed under the name uncultured Cortinarius. RNAcentral describes it as "sequence contains ITS2". Lineage: Eukaryota; Fungi; Basidiomycota; Agaricomycetes; Agaricales; Cortinariaceae. The record is from RNAcentral.